This 167-nucleotide ribosomal RNA is filed under the name Staphylococcus capitis. RNAcentral describes it as "partial 23S ribosomal RNA". It matches the Rfam family "Bacterial large subunit ribosomal RNA", at positions 2756 to 2925 of the family's 2925-position model. Lineage: Bacteria; Bacillati; Bacillota; Bacilli; Caryophanales; Staphylococcaceae. The record is from RNAcentral.
UGGACGGGAUAAGUGCUGAAAGCAUCUAAGCAUGAAGCCCCCUUCAAGAUGAGAUUUCCCAACUUCGGUUAUAAGAUCCCUCGAAGAUGACGAGGUUAAUAGGUUCGAGGUGGAAGCGUGGCGACACGUGGAGCUGACGAAUACUAAUCGAUCGAAGACUUAAUCAA